CGCUCUUCCUUUUUAAUGGUCUGGAUGUUCCACCAAUGAUGCUUCCUUUUUCCUGAAAUUCUACUGUCUGUUAGCUGUUCCUGGCAGUUCCCAUUUCUAACAGGUGUUGAAUACCAAACUAGUGAGAGCAAGUCAUAGGAGCAAGUCUGAGAAAAGUAACAUGAUGUAUGCUUUCUAUGUAAGAAGAUAUGAAAUAUUAACUGGAACUUAUUGAAGAGACAGCUGCUUUCUCAGAGGGAGGGCCAUCCAGGGCUGACUAGUUCACUGAGAAACAACAUUUCAGCAUAAGAAUUAACUAUCUUCUUGUUUGCUGUAUCAAGGCUCUGA
This is a long non-coding RNA of Alligator sinensis (Chinese alligator), 327 nucleotides long. RefSeq lists it as uncharacterized. NCBI's taxonomy places the organism in Eukaryota, Metazoa, Chordata, Crocodylia, Alligatoridae. The transcript is spliced from 3 exons. The record is from RefSeq and is a predicted model, not a curated record.